This 253-nucleotide ribosomal RNA is filed under the name uncultured bacterium. RNAcentral describes it as "partial 16S ribosomal RNA". It matches the Rfam family "Bacterial small subunit ribosomal RNA", at positions 524 to 776 of the family's 1533-position model. The record is from RNAcentral.
UACAGGGGGGGCAAGCGUUGUUCGGAAUUACUGGGCGUAAAGGGUUCGUAGGUGGCCAACUAAGUCAGACGUGAAAUCCCUCAGCUUAACUGGGGAACUGCGUCUGAUACUGGAUGGCUUGAGUGUAGGAGAGGAAUGCGGAAUUCCAGGUGUAGCGGUGAAAUGCGUAGAUAUCUGGAGGAACACCGGUGUCGAAGGCGGCAUUCUGGACUACAACUGACACUGAGGAACGAAAGCCAGGGGAGCAAACGGG